UCUGAGGGACUAGAGACCAUGGUGUG
This 26-nucleotide non-coding RNA is filed under the name Cricetulus griseus (Chinese hamster). Lineage: Eukaryota; Metazoa; Chordata; Mammalia; Rodentia; Cricetidae. The record is from RNAcentral.